AGUGAACGCUGGCGGUAGGCCUAACACAUGCAAGUCGAACGGCAGCACAGUAAGAGCUUGCCCUCACGGGUGGCGAGUGGCGGACGGGUGAGGAAUACAUCGGAAUCUACUUUUUCGUGGGGGAUAACGUAGGGAAACUUACGCUAAUACCGCAUACGACCUACGGGUGAAAGCAGGGGAUCUUCGGACCUUGCGCGAUUGAAUGAGCCGAUGUCGGAUUAGCUAGUUGGCGGGGUAAAGGCCCACCAAGGCGACGAUCCGUAGCUGGUCUGAGAGGAUGAUCAGCCACACUGGAACUGAGACACGGUCCAGACUCCUACGGGAGGCAGCAGUGGGGAAUAUUGGACAAUGGGCGCAAGCCUGAUCCAGCCAUACCGCGUGGGUGAAGAAGGCCUUCGGGUUGUAAAGCCCUUUUGUUGGGGAAGAAAAGCAGCAGGUUAAUACCCCGCUGUUCUGACGGUACCCAAAGAAUAAGCACCGGCUAACUUCGUG
Molecule: ribosomal RNA, 492 nt
Filed under: uncultured bacterium
Lineage: Bacteria
Description: partial 16S ribosomal RNA
Rfam family: Bacterial small subunit ribosomal RNA
Source: RNAcentral